CUGGGAUCCACAAUCUAAUCCACAUAGAUUAGAGCAGCAAGUAAAGUGACAUGAAAGACAUCAUUGGUUCACCUACUGUGCAAUGAGCCGAACCAAAUAGUAUAAUUAUCUAACAAUAGCUAAAUUGAAGUGAAAGCAGAUUCAGUCUCCUCCAACAUUGUGUAUCAAAGGCAUAAUUUGACUACAUACAUAUUAACGAGAGGAAAUUGAAAUGCUAAAUUAUCGCAACAAAUAUUAUCCAUAUCCUCUCUUUCGCUUCCU
This 261-nucleotide long non-coding RNA is filed under the name Solanum tuberosum (potato). RNAcentral's name for it is "long non-coding RNA (STUB_LNC007746)". The record is from RNAcentral. Lineage: Eukaryota; Viridiplantae; Streptophyta; Magnoliopsida; Solanales; Solanaceae.